Non-coding RNA from Camellia sinensis, 1963 nucleotides. The record is from RefSeq and is a predicted model, not a curated record. Lineage: Eukaryota; Viridiplantae; Streptophyta; Magnoliopsida; Ericales; Theaceae.
UUUCCUCUUAAGGUAACAUUUAAUAAUUUUGAUUUUUUUUUCCCCUUAAGGUAACAUUUAAGGAAAUAUAUUAAAAAAGAUUUUUGGGAUCAUUUCGGAUUACUAAAUUUACCAUUUUUGGAACGGAAGUGUACCAUGUUUCGGAGCAAGCAUGCAUACCAAUACGUAAUUUGCUUGGGUAUUAGCGUUUUCUGGUAACACAUAGCUGUUGACAUUAUCAAGUUAUGUAAAUUUGUGAUGUACAGAACACACAACCUUGUUCUUUGGUAGUGAAUUAGUUGUAUUUGUGCUUUCUUAUCUUGUACAUUUCAUUUUGAAGUUUUCAAUUGUAUUUGUACUUUUGCUUUCAGAUCUUUGGACCUCUCCAGGAUGAAAGCCAGGUCAAGAGCAUUGUGGUUGAGAUAAAAUAGGUGAUCACAGCCAGCUCAAGUAGAAAAGGAGAGAGUAGAUAGGGCCAAAGCUGAAGACUUCAAUGCUAAGGAUGGGGAAAUACUAAGAGAGGAAAAUGAGCAAGAGGAAGAAGUUUUUGAUCAAGUUUGUCUUCCACUAAUCAUUUUUUAGUGUCAUGGAUUACAUGUUCAUCUUUUUAUUAUAUGGUUCUAAUAAAAUUUAAUUUCAUUUUUUGCCUCACAAAUGGAUUUCCUGAUUCAGGUAAGUGAAAUCUUGGGAACUUUGAUAAAACAUUUAAGGCCUCUUUCUUGCCCUUCUUUAAUGACCUGUCAUCAUAUAUUACGCCUAUGUGGGGGAAGGAUAAAACAGAUGAGGAGAGAAGGAUAGCAAUUUGCAUCUUUGAUGAUGUUGCAGAGCAGUGUCAUGAAGCAGCUCUGAAGUAAAUGUUCCUUUCAAAACAUUUAUGUAGAUGCAUUGAUUGCUAUUGUGGCCAUUUAUCCAAUAUAAUUUGAACAUGUGUUGAACAAGUAUUAUGAUACAUAUCUUCCUUUCUUUUUGGAAGCUUGCAAUGACAUGAACCUAGAUGUCUGGCAGGCUACUGUAUAUGGACUUGGCAUUUGUGCAGAAAUUUGGUGGUUCUAUUUUUAAACCUCUUGUUUAGGCUACUGUAUAUGGACUUGGCAUUUGUGCAGAAUUUGGUGGUUCUGUUUUUAAACCUCUUGUUUUAGGUAUAAUCUGCUUCCACAUUUUGGGAGUUGGUUUCCUUCAUAUUUCCUUUGAAUUGAUAGUUGUUCUUUAUACCUUGUUCAAAGGCUUUUUCAACGUUAAAUGUUGUGAUAAGGGACCCUAAUGCCUUGUAACCUGAAAACAUAAUGGCAUAUGAUAAUGUUGUUUCUGCUAUGGGAAAAAUAUGUCAGUUCCAUCGUGAGAGUAUAGGUUCAGCUCAGGUAAUUCCUCUUUCUUUAUUGUUCACAAGCCUAUUCAAGCAUAAAUAAUUUUGCAAAAUGUGGAUUCUUUGAUUCUUUUGGUUCACCUUGAAACUUGAAUAUAUUGCACAGGAUGACUUUUAGUUAUCUUAGGGUGUGUUGUGCGCUGCCUUGCACCUUUUAAACUAACAAGGUCUUGACUCUUGAUAUGUGAUUUGUUAGGCAUUUAUUAAUUAGUAUGUGUAUCCUAAAUAUUUAAUGAAAUACUAGAGCUCUGAAAUGGAUUAUUUAUAUACUUGUGUUCCCAUAUACUUACUUUGUGCAAGAAAACAAAAUGAUAAGUGAUAAUCAGUUGGUAACUCGUGCACAAUUUGCUUAUGCUUUUUCUUUAGUGGAUGCUUCUUUAAUAGGGGGGGGGGAUUUUUUUUGUUUGUAGUGGCAGUUUCAUUAAUUAGUUAAGUUUCUUUCAUUUGGGAAUGGUCUCACAUUUUUCACCUUUCAUGAUUUCUUGGUUUAAGGGAGCAUUACUUGAUUCUUGUAGAGUCAUUAUUGUGUAUGAUCUUUUACAAAUAUUUACUUAUAGUUGAUGCUCCUGAAAUGGUUGAGUUUUUUUUUUUUUUAAACCUUAGUUCUUAUAAAUACCUGUA